UGGCGGCGUGGUUAAGACAUGCAAGUCGGACGCUGAUUAGGGGGUAGCAAUAUUCUCUAGUCGGAGUGGCGCAAGGGUGCGUAACACGUGGGUAAUCUGCCGUGAAGCCUGGGAUAACUCGCUGAAAGGCGAGCUAAUACCGGAUGAGACUGUGAGGAAGCAUUUUCUCGCAUUGAAAGCUGGGGACCUGCAAAGGCCUGGCCCUUCACGAUGAGCCCGCGGCCUAUCAGCUAGUUGGUGAGGUAACGGCCCACCAAGGCUAAGACGGGUAGCUGGUCUGAGAGGACGACCAGCCACACUGGAACUGAGACACGGUCCAGACACCUACGGGUGGCAGCAGUCGAGAAUUUUUCACAAUGGGCGCAAGCCUGAUGGAGCGACGCCGCGUGGGGGAUGAAGGGUUUCGAUCCGUAAACCCCUGUCAUUUGCGAACAAUGGUUGAGCAAUAACACUGUUCAACUUGAUAGUAGCGGAAGAGGAAGGGACGGCUAACUCUGUGCCAGCAGCCGCGGUAAUACAGAGGUCCCAAGCGUUGUUCGGAUUCACUGGGCGUAAAGGGUGCGUAGGUGGCCGUGGAAGUUCGGUGUGAAAGCUCGGAGCUCAACUCCGAAAAGUCAUUGAAUACUCUA
Molecule: ribosomal RNA, 629 nt
Filed under: uncultured Verrucomicrobiota bacterium
Lineage: Bacteria; Pseudomonadati; Verrucomicrobiota
Description: bacterial SSU rRNA
Rfam family: Bacterial small subunit ribosomal RNA
Source: RNAcentral